AGAUAUUAGAUCUAAGCUAGAAGAGAUAUUAGAUCCUCAAAAACCAAGAGAAGGUGAUUAGGUUUCCCACAGCCCAUAAAAAAGCAAGCAGAAGCUCAGAAAUCGAAACUGAUGGACAACAUGACUUCUUCAAGUGAUCUUUAUAAAUUUUGAUUCUCCACUGGCUUCUGUGGUGGGAGGAUGGGUUGGACAUGGUGUUGAAGGAGUCUCACUGCAGAGCUUUGUGGAUAAGCAGUCCCACCUCCCGACCCACCCCUCUCCCGGCUCAGCAGGGACCACUCAGAACCCCAG
This 291-nucleotide long non-coding RNA is filed under the name Bos taurus (domestic cattle). Its description in RNAcentral is "long non-coding RNA NONBTAT014820". Lineage: Eukaryota; Metazoa; Chordata; Mammalia; Artiodactyla; Bovidae. The record is from RNAcentral.